Molecule: long non-coding RNA, 415 nt
Organism: Nannospalax galili (Upper Galilee mountains blind mole rat)
Lineage: Eukaryota; Metazoa; Chordata; Mammalia; Rodentia; Spalacidae
Exons: 3
Source: RefSeq, a predicted model, not a curated record
CUUCCGCCCGACUAUCGGAACACCGGGGUCCUGAAAACUCUGCAGGGACCUAGGGAGCACUGCACUCGGGAGCAGCGCGGUGCUGAACAGGCGGCGGGCGGAUCCAGACUGAGACUCAGCUGGAUACGAACGUUCACCAGAGCACCGGGAACCACGAGGAGCGGGUGUGUUGACAUUCAGUGAUGUGGCUGUGGACUUCUCACAAGAAGAGAGGGAGUGCCUAGAUCCUGCUCAGAGGCCUUUGUAAAGAGACUUGAUGGUGAGGAAUUACAGCUCUCUCAUUUUUAUUGGUUCUGUUUACGAAGCUCAGUAGAAGCAUCAGUGCUGUUUCAUUAACAGUCGUAGGCAGAAGACAGUGAGGCUGGGGGUCAGCUGCCAGUGCUUCUGAAGGAAAGCUUAGUGUAGCCUCUAUUCC